AUUGCCCCAGUAACGGCGAGUGAAGCGGCAACAGCUCAAAUUUGAAAUCUGGCCCCCCCGCGGGGUCCGAGUUGUAAUUUGAAGAGGAUGCUUCUGGCAAGGUGCCUUCCGAGUUCCCUGGAACGGGACGCCGCAGAGGGUGAGAGCCCCGUACGGUAGGACGCCGAGCCUCUGUGAAGCUCCUUCGACGAGUCGAGUAGUUUGGGAAUGCUGCUCAAAAUGGGAGGUAAACCCCUUCUAAAGCUAAAUACCGGCCAGAGACCGAUAGCGCACAAGUAGAGUGAUCGAAAGAUGAAAAGCACUUUGAAAAGAGAGUUAAAAAGCACGUGAAAUUGUUGAAAGGGAAGCGCUUGCGACCAGACUCGCGCCCGUCGGAUCAGCCGUCGCUCGCGGCGGUGCACUCCGGCGGGCUCGGGCCAGCAUCAGUUCGUUGGGGGGGAGAAAGGCGGCGGGAAUGUGGCUCUACGGAGUGUUAUAGCCCGCCGUGUAAUACCCCCUGGCGGACUGAGGACCGCGCGUAUGCAAGGAUGCUGGCGUAAUGGUCGUCAGCGACCCGUCUUGAAACACGGACCAAGGAGUCGUCCUAAUAUGCGAGUGUACGGGUGUCAAACCCCUGCGCGUAAUGAAAGUGAACGGAGGUGAGAGCUUCGGCGCAUCAUCGACCGAUCCUGAUGUUCUCGGAUGGAUUUGAGUAAGAGCAUAUUGGGCCGGACCCGAAAGAAGGUGAACUAUGCCUGUGUAGGGUAAAGCCAGAGGAAACUCUGGUGGAGGCUCGCAGCGGUUCUGACGUGCAAAUCGAUCGUCAAACAUGGGCAUGGGGGCGAAAGACUAAU
This 833-nucleotide ribosomal RNA is filed under the name Microascus rothbergiorum. RNAcentral's name for it is "partial large subunit ribosomal RNA". It matches the Rfam family "Eukaryotic large subunit ribosomal RNA", at positions 74 to 935 of the family's 3401-position model. The record is from RNAcentral. Lineage: Eukaryota; Fungi; Ascomycota; Sordariomycetes; Microascales; Microascaceae.